UAUUAUUUUAAAUAUAAUUAAUAAUGCUUGGGUAGUACUAGAUGUUUCUUGAAACCCAAAGAAUUUGGCGGUAUUUUAGUCUUUUCAGAGGAACCUGUUUUUUUUAUCGAUAUUCCACGUUAUAUCUUGCUUUGUUUUGUUUUCAGUAUGUAUAUCGCCGUUAUCAGAGUAUUUUUUUAGAAUAAUAAUUUUCUUUAUUUUUUAUUGAAAGUGAUUUCAGGUCAAGGUGCAGUUUAUAGUAAAGUUGAAAUGGGUUACAAUAAAAUUUAUUUAUAAUGAAUUUUUGUAUGAAAUUAUAAUUUGAAGG
This 307-nucleotide ribosomal RNA is filed under the name Grylloblatta campodeiformis. RNAcentral describes it as "partial 12S ribosomal RNA". The record is from RNAcentral. Lineage: Eukaryota; Metazoa; Arthropoda; Insecta; Grylloblattodea; Grylloblattidae.